GCUGUGGUCAGACCAUUUUAAAACGGGCUUAAGCGUUGGACUCAUAAUCCAAAGGUCGCGGGUUCGAAUCCCGCCCCCGGCACCA
This 85-nucleotide transfer RNA is filed under the name Candidatus Bathyarchaeota archaeon. RNAcentral describes it as "tRNA-Met". It matches the Rfam family "tRNA", at positions 10 to 71 of the family's 71-position model. Rfam says of the family: Transfer RNA (tRNA) molecules are approximately 80 nucleotides in length. Their secondary structure includes four short double-helical elements and three loops (D, anti-codon, and T loops). Lineage: Archaea; Thermoproteati; Candidatus Bathyarchaeota. The record is from RNAcentral.